Molecule: ribosomal RNA, 156 nt
Filed under: Periglandula sp. 3 WB-2014
Lineage: Eukaryota; Fungi; Ascomycota; Sordariomycetes; Hypocreales; Clavicipitaceae
Description: 5.8S ribosomal RNA
Rfam family: 5.8S ribosomal RNA (bases 1-125)
About the family: 5.8S ribosomal RNA (5.8S rRNA) is a component of the large subunit of the eukaryotic ribosome. It is transcribed by RNA polymerase I as part of the 45S precursor that also contains 18S and 28S rRNA.
Source: RNAcentral
CAUCGAUGAAGAACGCAGCGAAAUGCGAUAAGUAAUGUGAAUUGCAGAAUUCAGUGAAUCAUCGAAUCUUUGAACGCACAUUGCGCCCCGCCAGUAUUCUGGCGGGCAUGCCUGUUCGAGCGUCAUUUCAACCCUCAAGCCCUGCUUGGUGUUGGG